Molecule: long non-coding RNA, 857 nt
Filed under: Ovis aries (sheep)
Lineage: Eukaryota; Metazoa; Chordata; Mammalia; Artiodactyla; Bovidae
Description: lncRNA (ENSOARG00000025716.1)
Source: RNAcentral
GCCCCGCCCACUCCCGGUAUUGGCCCCGCCCCUGGUACCCGCCCACUCCCGGUAGCGCCCCCGCCCCGCCCCCGCACCUGGUAGCGGCCCAGGGGCGUGAGGAUGAGCCCGUCCUCGCCCACGAUGCAGUCCGGGAGCUGCUUCUUCCCGUUCUCGUCCUGCGUUGUCCCCAGGGCAAGCGUCAGCUGGGCGAGCUGGGCCUCGCUAAGCUGCGGGGCGGGACGGACAGAGGGUCUCGUUCGAGGCCUGGGGAGCCAUCCCCACCCAGACUCAUCGCCCCGAGGGCGGGGGCGGGCGGUGUACCCGGAAGGCUUGGCACAGGCACUCCAGCGCCUUCUCCAGGUACUCGUCCGUCUUGCGGACGCUGUCCUGCCCCAUCUCGUCCAGGUCGUUGCCCGCGUAGGAGCCGUUGCUGUCCGCGGGGUAGAAGCCCAGCCAGGACAGGAAGGGGCGGCCAGGUUGGGCUGCGCGAAGACCUUGGCCACGCGGAACACCAUGAGCGCGUUCUUGGGGCUGACGAGGUCUGUGCGCAGCGCACGGUUCAGGAAGCCCAGGAAGAGCUUGGUGUAGACGAGCAGGUUCUCCUGCACGAAGGGCGCCCUGUGGUGGGGUGAGUCAGGACUCCUCCGGGCUCUGUCUCCCGAGCCUCGAGCGGGGUGAUGGCAGGGGUAGUGCAGAGGGCUGAGGGCGGGGUCCUCAUGAAGAGGCCCUUCUCUGGGCGCAGGCGCGGGGCAGGGCUGAGGGGCUCUGCCUGAGUGCGCCUGGCGGGGGACGACGGGGGACCGCCCCCACAGCACCCUGCGCGGGCUCACCAUCUCUCCGACACGCCGCGGGCCUGGCAGCCGCUGCCCGGGGCC